Molecule: ribosomal RNA, 429 nt
Filed under: Chloroflexota bacterium
Lineage: Bacteria; Bacillati; Chloroflexota
Description: Chloroflexi bacterium partial 16S ribosomal RNA
Rfam family: Bacterial small subunit ribosomal RNA
Source: RNAcentral
UGGGGAAUAUUGCACAAUGGGCGCAAGCCUGAUGCAGCCAUGCCGCGUGUGUGAAGAAGGCCUUCGGGUUGUAAAGCACUUUCAGCGGGGAGGAAGGCGGUGAGGUUAAUAACCUCACCGAUUGACGUUACCCGCAGAAGAAGCACCGGCUAACUCCGUGCCAGCAGCCGCGGUAAUACGGAGGGUACAAGCGUUAAUCGGAAUUACUGGGCGUAAAGCGCACGCAGGCGGUCUGUCAAGUCGGAUGUGAAAUCCCCGGGCUCAACCUGGGAACUGGAUUCGAAACUGGCAGGCUAGAGUCUUGUAGAGGGGGGUAGAAUUCCAGGGGUAGCGGUGAAAUGCGUAGAGAUCUGGAGGAAUACCGGUGGCGAAGGCGGCCCCCUGGACAAAGACUGACGCUCAGGUGCGAAAGCGUGGGGAGCAAACAGG